This 300-nucleotide ribosomal RNA is filed under the name uncultured Acidianus sp. RNAcentral describes it as "bacterial SSU rRNA". The stretch from base 52 to 300 matches the Rfam family "Bacterial small subunit ribosomal RNA", at positions 547 to 795 of the family's 1533-position model. Lineage: Archaea; Thermoproteati; Thermoproteota; Thermoprotei; Sulfolobales; Sulfolobaceae. The record is from RNAcentral.
GUGUAUGUUGGAAGAGGAGGGGUGGUAAUACAGGGGUGCCGGACGGUGUUUGUAUUGAAUGGGGGGAAAGGGUGGGUAGGUGGGUGGGUAAGGCGGAUGGGAAAGCUUGGAGCGCAACGCCGAAAUGGCAUUGGAAACUACCUUGCUCGAGGGUUGGAGGGGGGACUGGAAUGCUUGGUGUAGCAGUGAAAGGCGUAGAUAUCAAGCGGAACACCAGUGGCGAAGGCGAGUCCCUGGACAACUCCUGACACUGAGGCACGAAAGCUAGGGGAGCAAACAGGAUUAGAUACCCUAGUAGUC